Molecule: small nuclear RNA, 101 nt
Filed under: Octodon degus (degu)
Lineage: Eukaryota; Metazoa; Chordata; Mammalia; Rodentia; Octodontidae
Source: RNAcentral
GCCUGCUUCCACAGUGCAUAGACUAAAAUUGAAACAAUACAGAGAUUAGUAUGAUCCUUGUGCAAGGAUGCCACGCAAUUCGUGAAGCAUUCCAUAUUUCU